GAUGAAGAACGCAGCGAAAUGCGAUACGUAAUGUGAAUUGCAGAAUUCAGUGAAUCAUCGAAUCUUUGAACGCAUAUUGCGCUCUUUGGUAUUCCGAAGAGCAUGCUUGUUUGAGUAUCAGUAAACACCUCAACCUCUUCUUGAUUUUUCAAAAGGAGGGUGGACUUGAGCUAUCCCAACAACCUUUACCGGUCGGCGGGCGGCUUGAAAUGCAGGUGCAGCUGGACUUUUAUCUGAGCUAAAAGCAUAUCUAUUUAGUCCUCGUCAAACAGGAUUAUUACUUUUGCUGCAGCUAACAUAAAGGAUAAUUGUCCUCUUUGCUGACUGAUGCAGGAUUUUACGACACUUUAUGUGUUGUUCAACUCGAUCUCAUAUCAAGUAAGACUACCCGCUGAACUUAAGCAUAUCAAUAAGCGGAGGA
This 421-nucleotide unclassified non-coding RNA is filed under the name soil metagenome. RNAcentral describes it as "partial contains 5.8S ribosomal RNA, internal transcribed spacer 2, and large subunit ribosomal RNA". The stretch from base 1 to 120 matches the Rfam family "5.8S ribosomal RNA", at positions 35 to 154 of the family's 154-position model. The record is from RNAcentral.